This 73-nucleotide transfer RNA is filed under the name Verrucomicrobiota bacterium. RNAcentral describes it as "Verrucomicrobia bacterium tRNA-Phe". It matches the Rfam family "tRNA". From Rfam's summary of the family: Transfer RNA (tRNA) molecules are approximately 80 nucleotides in length. The record is from RNAcentral. Lineage: Bacteria; Pseudomonadati; Verrucomicrobiota.
GGCGAGUUAGCUCAGUUGGUAGAGCAGAGGACUGAAAAUCCUUGUGUCCCCGGUUCGAUUCCGGGACUCGCCA